RNAcentral lists this ribosomal RNA (253 nucleotides) under uncultured bacterium. RNAcentral's name for it is "partial 16S ribosomal RNA". It matches the Rfam family "Bacterial small subunit ribosomal RNA", at positions 524 to 776 of the family's 1533-position model. The record is from RNAcentral.
UACGUAGGGCGCGAGCGUUGUCCGGAAUUAUUGGGCGUAAAGAGCUCGUAGGCGGCCUGUCGCGUCUGCUGUGAAAUCCCGGGGCUUAACCCUGAGCUUGCAGUGGGUACGGGCAGACUAGAGUGCGGUAGGGGAGACUGGAAUUCCUGGUGUAGCGGUGAAAUGCGCAGAUAUCAGGAGGAACACCGGUGGCGAAGGCGGGUCUCUGGGCCGUAACUGACGCUGAGGAGCGAAAGCAUGGGGAGCGAACAGG